RNAcentral lists this transfer RNA (25 nucleotides) under Prangos cachroides. Its description in RNAcentral is "partial tRNA-Thr". The record is from RNAcentral. RNAcentral also lists the same sequence under 1 other name. Lineage: Eukaryota; Viridiplantae; Streptophyta; Magnoliopsida; Apiales; Apiaceae.
GUACGGUUCAAAUCCGAUAAGGGGC